Molecule: ribosomal RNA, 497 nt
Filed under: uncultured bacterium
Lineage: Bacteria
Description: partial 16S ribosomal RNA
Rfam family: Bacterial small subunit ribosomal RNA
Source: RNAcentral
ACGAACGCUGGCGGCGUGCCUAAUACAUGCAAGUCGCACGAGAGCGACCGGUGCUUGCACUGGUCAAUCUAGUGGCGAACGGGUGAGUAACACGUGGGUAACCUGCCCAUCAGAGGGGGAUAACAUCCGGAAACGGAUGCUAAAACCGCAUAGGUCUUCGAGCCGCAUGGCUUGAAGAGGAAAAGAGGCGCAAGCUUCUGCUGAUGGAUGGACCCGCGGUGCAUUAGCUAGUUGGUGAGGUAACGGCUCACCAAGGCCGUGAUGCAUAGCCGACCUGAGAGGGUGAUCGGCCACAUUGGGACUGAGACACGGCCCAAACUCCUACGGGAGGCAGCAGUAGGGAAUCUUCCGCAAUGGACGCAAGUCUGACGGAGCAACGCCGCGUGAGUGAAGAAGGUUUUCGGAUCGUAAAACUCUGUUGUUAGAGAAGAACAAGUGCUAGAGUAACUGUUAGCGCCUUGACGGUAGCUAACCAGAAAGCCACGGCUAACUACGUG